UGGAAAUGCUUCACGAGGACAAGAGUACAAGACCUAUUAACCAAUUACUGACAUAAAUCCGACUUCAAAACCACAACUUUAUUACAAUGAAAACGUUCAGACUUAAAAAACUCUGGUCACAUUAGUGAAACACGGUACUGGAAGUUACCGAAUGGAAAUUUAUGUACAUUUAUUAGACCUAACCAGGAAUAGCUACGAAAAAUGCAACCAUAGGUCCCUGGUAGGAAUCGAACCGGCGGCCCUGCGAUUCCGGUGCAGCGCUCUAACCAGCGCUCUAGGUCUAAUAAAUGUAUAAAAAUUUCCACUCGACAAUUUUCAUCUACAAGACCCUUCAACUAUUAUUGAAUCGAGUGAGAUGCAACAAAAUCUCGACAUUUACUGGAAGUUACGUCCGAACGAUCCUAUACCAGCCACUUUCUAUGGACUCCCUCAGAUUCAUAUAUAUAGGUUCAAUUAAUACCAAGAGACGACCCCCUCACUCUUCACGAAACUGAUGUUAGGAUGAGACCUAUCAACAGCUGCGUUGGUUUCCCAACUUAUUCAGUGUCUAAAUACGUCGCAAAAGUUUUGGGACGCUUGGGCUUAAGUACAUGAUGUUCAUACAGUUAAAAUUUUCAACAGUUCACAGAUCGUAUUUCUACAUAGAUUAUUGCAGAGGAUGAGAUUGUCGUUUCUUUUCAUGUAACUUCUCCGUUUACGUCUAUUCCUGCAUAUCCAGUUAGCUAUGCAGUUGGUCAAAACCAACCUUAAACAGGACGACAUACAGUUAGAAGCAACGUACACAACUCGAAUUACAACAUGUAAUACAUUUGUUGAAACUCGUACUGGAAACAUUUUCUUUGUUUACCAGGGCGUUUAUACCAGACUUUGAAAUAAAGUCGAAACAUUACGGUGAAUUUUGUUGUCUUUUUAAAAAUAGAUCGAAUCUUGAGCUUAAUUACAAGGUGUCACGCUGGUCAUAUUCAGUAAAUUUUCUCCCAGUACCGCAGGCUCGCAUUUUCAGUGGACUUGCGGUGAAAAAUCGAAACUUUUGCAUUUUUCAAGAUUUUUCAAAGAACUGGUCCAAAGCAAGAAGUCCGCUGACAAUACGAGCCCGCACAAGUGGGAGAAAUUUUGGUAAAUUUAACCAACGUGUGUUUAUGUCGAGUUUGUUUCAUCUUAUAUUUCGCGAAAUUGUCUGCUGCAUGUAAAGGAUUUCAAAUAGCCUAGGUACUCAAUAUAUG
Molecule: non-coding RNA, 1223 nt
Organism: Paramuricea clavata
Lineage: Eukaryota; Metazoa; Cnidaria; Anthozoa; Malacalcyonacea; Plexauridae
Source: the annotation of a GenBank genome assembly